CCGAGAGAGGGUGCCCCGCGCGCCCGACCUCCCAACCCUUUGUCGACCGCACCGCGUUGCCUCGGGGCGGCCUCACCCGGCGCCCCAGAGGACUUCAAUCAAAACUCUGCGUCCCUGCGUCGGAGUCUUACGGAUGAAUCAAUCA
This 145-nucleotide unclassified non-coding RNA is filed under the name uncultured Ascomycota. RNAcentral's name for it is "sequence contains ITS1". The record is from RNAcentral. Lineage: Eukaryota; Fungi; Ascomycota.